RNAcentral lists this unclassified non-coding RNA (2681 nucleotides) under Polistes canadensis. Its description in RNAcentral is "putative uncharacterized protein DDB_G0282499, transcript variant X2". Lineage: Eukaryota; Metazoa; Arthropoda; Insecta; Hymenoptera; Vespidae. The record is from RNAcentral.
UUCUAUUUUAUCUUUAUCUCUCUUUCUCUUUCUCUCUGACGAUAAUUCGGGGUAAAAAGAGAGAGAGAGAGAAGUAGAUAAUAUAAGGAGAGACAGACACACAGACGGUGAGAAGAGAGAGAGAUUGCCGAGUUUAACGACCACGACGUUCAAAGCACCCACUAUAUUCAAACGUAGAAGGAGAGGGAGGGAGGAGGAGGUGGUGGAAUCCUGAAAGAUAGGAGAAAGAGUUAGAGCGAGUGAGAGAACACCAAGAGGAGGAAGAAGAAGUAGUAGUAGAAGAAGAAGAAGAAGAAGAAGAAGAAGAAGAGGGUGGGUGUAUAUCUCGUGUGUCACGAUUAUUAUUUCGUAUUAGUUUUCUUCUUCUUAUCCCGAGAAGAAGCCGUGCAGCAGACAACAACACACGGUGGUGGUUGGUUGGUUGGAUUGGUGUUUUUUGAUCCGCCUUUUUUUUUUCUCUAACGUGGAAAACGAAAAGCAGUAUAGUAGUCAGUGGGUGUGCUGUUGGUUGUGUGUCCUUUAAUAUCAACCGUGUUUGCACUGUGUGUUGUCCUGUGGGAGUUAUAGUAGAGUUUGUUGCCAGGGUUGCUUGGGAUAAUAGUGCUGGUGGUGUGUAGUGUGGUAUAACGUUCGAUUAAGAAGAAAAGGGGGUGGUAAUCAACAUACAUCACAUACAUACAUACAUACAUACACAAUCUCUCUUUCUCACACAAAUAAAAGAGGCUAUUUAAAAAACAAAAACAAAAAACACUCGGUAGCAGUAACAAAAGUAGUAGUCAUUUAUGAAGAAAGAAUUUAAAGAAAUCAGGCGGGAAGUUUUGAAUCCGACGAUUAAUAAUAAACGGAAAACGCGUUGGGUCCCUUCCCUAUUUUCUAAUUACAUUUGUCGUUUAUUAAUCAAUUAUGACAAAUGCAACAACAACUGUUAACUCGGACGAAGGAUGUAAUUCGUCGUCAGUGUUAAGAUAGUUGUCUAAAAAAAAAAACAACAAAUAAAUCAAGUUUGUGUGUUAGUUUUUGAGUGAAAACACCCCAAAUCAACAACCCCCAGCAAAGUAGCAGCAGUAAUCAACAACAACGACAACAAUUGUGUAGUUUCCAUUAUACCCUUUGGUUAUUAUUUCUUUUUGGAGGGUAUUGGAAAAGAAGAAGAAGAGAAACAAAGGGGAAGCAGAAACAAGCUCUGGUGGUUUUGGGUAGAAGUUGUUCUAUCGUUGUUCAGUUAAUUUAGUUGAUUACUUUGGUUUUUAAACCCAAUAAUAAAAUAACGGUGUUGGAUUAAAUUAAGUUAAUAAUAAAAGAAUUAAAUGAUGGAUCGGCCGUUAGAUAUUAACGUGGUGGCCCGUGGUGUGACGUGUGAUUAGCCCCCGUCGGUUUAACCAGCCGUUCAUAACGUGAAUUAGUGGUGUACGAUGUGGUGUUCGGCGACGGCCCUGGUCCUCCUCGUAGCCGUUGCCGUAAGUGGUGUCAUUUAUAAGGGCUCAUAUUCUAGGUUAUCCAAUCAUUUAGUUUAUUUAACAAGAAAUCCUACCAUCAUCGACUUUAUUAUUUACGCGUCGACCUCGCCGUCGUCGUCGACCUCGUCGUCGUCGACCUCGUCGUCGUCGGCGUCGUCGUCGGCGUCGUUGUCGUCGUCGUCGUUGUUGUUGUUGUGGUGGUGGUGGUGGUCAACAACGUCCUCCUCCACUUCUUCUUUGCUAACCGAGUGGUGGUCUUCAUCAUCAUCAUCAUCAUCGUCGUCGUCGGCGGUGUCAUCGUCGUCGUCGUCGUCGUCGUCGUCGUCAUUGCAGUCACCGCUGUCAUCGUCAUCAUCAUCCUUGCUGACGUCGACAACGCGAGAAACAACACCACCUGUACUGUUCUUCAUCAACAACAACAACAAAAGCAGCAGCAGCAACAAGAACAAUCGUUGGCGAAUAAUUAUUAACAAUAACAACAACAGCAUCAACGAUCUCAACUUUAACUAUUACAACAACGAUCAUCAACCCAAUUCAAGUUCCAGCAAAGACGCAUUUAGAACAAACCAAUCUAAAAGCAAUCUUAUUAUCUAUCCCAACAACAAGUUCAACAGGAAUACUGUUGUUAUUAGUUGCUGCUUCAAUAACAAUUGUUGCUUAGAUUAUUACCCUAGGGACAAUAAUAACAACAACUACAAUUACAAAAAGAACGUCGUUGUUACUAAUACUGUUGGGUUAUUGUUCAACGUCAUAUACAUACUUUCCAAUCGAAUCAACAACGCCAUCAGCAGCAACAGCAUCAACAGAAACAACUGUGGUGGCAGUUUCAUCGUUCUCUACAAUAUCACCAACAGCCCUUGCAGUGGUGGAAUCAUCAACAGUAACAGCAUCAGCAGCAGCAGCAGCAACAACAUCAUCAUUACCAACAACAGCAACAGCAGCAGCAGCGUUAGUGCUAGUGCUUAGUGAUCAUCAAGAUUUGUUGUUGUUGUAAUUGCCUUCUUGCUUUUGGUUCAUCGAUAGUUGUCAAUUUUUUCCCCUAGUUUUAGUUGUCACUAAAAAAGAAAGAAAAAAGAGGGAAAGUGUGAAUACGAUUUGAAAAGUAGGGAGGAAGGAAAGAGAAGAAUUGACAAGUAUAAUAAUAUAUAAGUGGUGUGAGAUUUUGGUGUGGUUCGUAAAGGAAAAAGGAAACAAGGAAUAGGAAAAAGAUAUAAAAAAGAAAAA